This 415-nucleotide ribosomal RNA is filed under the name uncultured archaeon. RNAcentral's name for it is "bacterial SSU rRNA". It matches the Rfam family "Archaeal small subunit ribosomal RNA", at positions 330 to 747 of the family's 1478-position model. The record is from RNAcentral.
GUGCAGCAGGCGAGAAACCUCUGCAAUAGGCGAAAGCUUGACAGGGUUACUCUGAGUGAUUUCCGCUAAGGGAAUCUUUUGGCACCUCUAAAAAUGGUGCAGAAUAAGGGGUGGGCAAGUCUGGUGUCAGCCGCCGCGGUAAUACCAGCACCCCGAGUGGUCGGGACGAUUAUUGGGCCUAAAGCAUCCGUAGCCGGUCCUGCAAGUCUUCCGUUAAAUCCAGCUGCUCAACAGAUGGGCUGCGGGAGAUACUACAGGGCUAGGAGGCGGGAGAGGCAAGCGGUACUUUAUGGGUAGGGGUAAAAUCCGCUGAUCCAUAGAAGACCACCAGUGGCGAAGGCGGCUUGCCAGAACGCGCUCGACGGUGAGGGAUGAAAGCUGGGGGAGCAAACCGGAUUAGAUACCCCGGUAGUCC